AACGCUGGCGGCGUGCCUAACACAUGCAAGUCGAGCGAGGAGAUCCUUCGGGAUGAUCCUAGCGGCGGACGGGUGAGUAACACGUGGGCAACCUGCCUCAUAGAGAGGAAUAGCCUUCCGAAAGGGAGAUUAAUACCUCAUAACAUUGCAGUUUCGCAUGGAACAGCAAUUAAAGGAGUAAUCCGCUAUGAGAUGGGCCCGCGGCGCAUUAGCUAGUUGGUGAGGUAAUGGCUCACCAAGGCGACGAUGCGUAGCCGACCUGAGAGGGUGAUCGGCCACAUUGGGGACUGAGACACGGCCCAGACUCCUACGGGAGGCAGCAGUGGGGAAUAUUGCACAAUGGGGGAAACCCUGAUGCAAGCAACGCCGCGUGAGUGAUGACGGCCUUCGGGUUGUAAAGCUCUGUCUUCAGGGACGAUAAUGACGGUACCUGAGGAGGAAGCCACGGCUAACUACGUGCCAGCCGCUGC
RNAcentral lists this ribosomal RNA (470 nucleotides) under uncultured bacterium. Its description in RNAcentral is "bacterial SSU rRNA". It matches the Rfam family "Bacterial small subunit ribosomal RNA", at positions 32 to 518 of the family's 1533-position model. The record is from RNAcentral.